This 253-nucleotide ribosomal RNA is filed under the name uncultured bacterium. RNAcentral describes it as "partial 16S ribosomal RNA". It matches the Rfam family "Bacterial small subunit ribosomal RNA", at positions 524 to 776 of the family's 1533-position model. The record is from RNAcentral.
UACAGAGGGGGCAAGCGUUAUUCGGAAUUAUUGGGCGUAAAGGGCGCGUAGGCGGCCUGGCAAGUGGAAGGUGAAAUCCCUCGGCUUAACCGAGGAAUUGCCCUCCAAACUGCUUGGCUUGAGUCCGGGAGAGGUGAGUGGAAUUCCCAGUGUAGCGGUGAAAUGCGUAGAUAUUGGGAGGAACACCAGUGGCGAAGGCGGCUCACUGGACCGGAACUGACGCUGAGGCGCGAAAGCGUGGGGAGCAAACAGG